GACGUAGGGCGCGAGCGUUGUCCGGAUUUAUUGGGCGUAAAGAGCUCGUAGGCGGCUUGUCGCGUCGACUGUGAAAACCCGCGGCUCAACCGUGUGGUCUGCAGUCGAUACGGGCAGGCUAGAGUUCGGUAGGGGAGACUGGAAUUCCUGGUGUAGCGGUGAAAUGCGCAGAUAUCAGGAGGAACACCGGUGGCGAAAGCGGCUCUCUGGAACGGUACUGACGCUGAGACGCGAAAGCGUGGGGAGCGAACAGG
Molecule: ribosomal RNA, 254 nt
Filed under: uncultured bacterium
Lineage: Bacteria
Description: partial 16S ribosomal RNA
Rfam family: Bacterial small subunit ribosomal RNA
Source: RNAcentral